UGCUUCCCAGGCCGUCGCGCUCCUGGCCGCGCACCCAGCCAGGGACCCAGAGGCCCUCAGCCCCGGGCUCUGCGCGUACACUGAGGGCGCGGCGCAGCAGGACAGCAAGAUAAGGAAGCAGAGACUGAAGGGAGGAAUCCCCGCUUUCCGGGGAUGAUGGCGUUCGAGUUGGGUCUGUGAGGGAUGAAAUAGGAGUUGGCCAGAGGGAGAGAGGGACUCUAGGCCUCGAGAAGAGCACGUGCAGAGGUUCCGUGACACGAAAACGCCAGGCUGGGAACUUCAGGAAAGCCAGG
RNAcentral lists this long non-coding RNA (293 nucleotides) under Homo sapiens (human). RNAcentral's name for it is "HSALNT0178030". The record is from RNAcentral. Lineage: Eukaryota; Metazoa; Chordata; Mammalia; Primates; Hominidae.